CCUUCGAUAGCUCAGCUGGUAGAGCGGAGGACUGUAGAGGCAUUGCUUCAGCGUGGAAAUCCUUAGGUCGCUGGUUCGAUUCCGGCUCGAAGGA
RNAcentral lists this transfer RNA (94 nucleotides) under Sphaerodactylus townsendi. RNAcentral describes it as "tRNA-Tyr". It matches the Rfam family "tRNA". From Rfam's summary of the family: Transfer RNA (tRNA) molecules are approximately 80 nucleotides in length. Their secondary structure includes four short double-helical elements and three loops (D, anti-codon, and T loops). The record is from RNAcentral. Lineage: Eukaryota; Metazoa; Chordata; Lepidosauria; Squamata; Sphaerodactylidae.